UACGAAGGGGGCUAGCGUUGUUCGGAAUUACUGGGCGUAAAGGGCUCGUAGGCGGCCAACUAAGUCAGACGUGAAAUCCCUCAGCUUAACUGGGGAACUGCGUCUGAUACUGGAUGGCUUGGAUUCGGGAGAGGAAUGCGGAAUUCCAGGUGUAGCGGUGAAAUGCGUAGAUAUCUGGAGGAACACCGGUGGCGAAGGCGGCAUUCUGGACCGACAUUGACGCUGAGGAGCGAAAGCCAGGGGAGCAAACGGG
This 253-nucleotide ribosomal RNA is filed under the name uncultured bacterium. RNAcentral's name for it is "partial 16S ribosomal RNA". It matches the Rfam family "Bacterial small subunit ribosomal RNA", at positions 524 to 776 of the family's 1533-position model. The record is from RNAcentral.